AGCUUCGACCAAGGUUCGACUUGAGCGCCAGCGAGAGAGCGUUGCCGCAGGCAACGACCCGAAGGGCGAAGCGCGCAGCGCUGAGUAAUCCUUCCCCCACCACCA
RNAcentral lists this small RNA (105 nucleotides) under Escherichia coli. RNAcentral's name for it is "partial RtT sRNA". It matches the Rfam family "RtT RNA", at positions 28 to 130 of the family's 130-position model. Rfam says of the family: This family represents a bacterial cis-regulatory element known as RtT RNA. The exact function of RtT is unknown although it is thought that it may be involved in changing the cellular response in relation to amino acid starvation. Lineage: Bacteria; Pseudomonadati; Pseudomonadota; Gammaproteobacteria; Enterobacterales; Enterobacteriaceae. The record is from RNAcentral.